RNAcentral lists this ribosomal RNA (432 nucleotides) under uncultured bacterium. RNAcentral's name for it is "partial 16S ribosomal RNA". It matches the Rfam family "Bacterial small subunit ribosomal RNA", at positions 29 to 507 of the family's 1533-position model. The record is from RNAcentral.
ACGAACGCUGGCGGCAGGCCUAACACCUGCCCGUCGAACGAAGUCUUCGGACUUAGUGGCGCACGGGUGAGUAACACGUGGGAAUAUACCUUACGCUGGGGGAUAACAUCGGGAAACUGAUGCUAAUACCGCAUACGCCCUUCGGGGGAAAGAUUUAUCGGCGAAAGAUUAGCCCGCGUCCGAUUAGCUAGUUGGUGAGGUAAUGGCUCACCAAGGCUCCGAUCGGUAGCUGGUCUGAGAGGAUGACCAGCCACACUGGGACUGAGACACGGCCCAGACUCCUACGGGAGGCAGCAGUGGGGAAUAUUGGACAAUGGGCGCAAGCCUGAUCCAGCCAUGCCGCGUGAGUGAUGAAGGCCUUAGGGUUGUAAAGCUCUUUCACCCACGACGAUGAUGACGGUAGUGGGAGAAGAAGCCCCGGCUAACUUCGUG